RNAcentral lists this transfer RNA (85 nucleotides) under Burkholderiales bacterium. Its description in RNAcentral is "tRNA-Leu". It matches the Rfam family "tRNA". From Rfam's summary of the family: Transfer RNA (tRNA) molecules are approximately 80 nucleotides in length. RNAcentral also lists the same sequence under 2 other names. Lineage: Bacteria; Pseudomonadati; Pseudomonadota; Betaproteobacteria; Burkholderiales. The record is from RNAcentral.
GCGAAUGUGGCGGAAUUGGUAGACGCACUGGAUUUAGGUUCCAGCGCCGCAAGGUGUGUGGGUUCGAGUCCCUCCAUUCGCACCA